GACAGAGGUGCCGAGCGUUAGGCGGAAUCACUGGGCUUAAAGCGCGUGUAGGUGGCGGCCUAAGUACCUUGUGAAAUCCUGCGGCUCAACCGCAGAACUGCUUGGUAUACUGGGUCGCUUGAGUCAUCCAGAGGCAACUGGAACAAGCGGUGGAGCGGUGAAAUGCGUAGAUAUCGCUUGGAACGCCAAAGGUGAAAACAGGUUGCUGGGGAUGUUCUGACACUGAGACGCGAAAGCCAGGGGAGCGAACGGG
Molecule: ribosomal RNA, 253 nt
Filed under: uncultured bacterium
Lineage: Bacteria
Description: partial 16S ribosomal RNA
Rfam family: Bacterial small subunit ribosomal RNA
Source: RNAcentral